GUUAUUGCACCCUUAAAACCCUUUCUAUUAUCAUCAUUACUAUUAUUUUGCUGAUACAUUAAACACUCCCCAAAAAGUUCUUCUUCCUUUCUUAUGUACUCUCUUUUUUUCUUUAUAUUUUUAAGUUUAUAAUAUUUUAUAUUUUUCAAAAAUACAUGUCAAUGCAUUCAGAGCCGGAUCAAACCGCUAAACAAGGUUUUUUUUUCCAGCGUUGACGACAUGAACAGGAAGAGGGGAAGGAGGAUUGUUUGGUUUCGCCAUGGAUGAUGAUGAAGAAGGUGAAGGUUUGAGUGUUGGUGGUGAUGGUGAGAGUUGUUGAGGGUUUAAAGGCUUGUGCGUUCGAGGAUCAAUCCCUUGACUAAUCAAUUUCUUACUCAGGUGAGUGUUCCAGUAGUUCUUUAUUUCGUUAUCUGUACGCCCUGGUAUUCUUCCAGCUAUUAGUGACCACCUACAUAAAAAAAACCCAGCAAAUUCAUUCAUUCAUGUUGCAUACACACACACACACACACAUGUAUAUAUAUAUAGAAACCGUAUGCAAAAAAUGAUUACAAAAUGAAUCCAUUAAGAACCCUAAAACACUGAAACCCUAGACCUACAACUUUUUUGUACAAGAUUCGAGGUUUCUGCAUUGAAUCUAACUAAAUUCGAAGUCGAAUUAAGUUAGACAGUUUAUCUUGAGAUAUCCAGAAAUCUAAUCCAAAACCCUAAAAUGAAAUUCAUUGAAAAAAAAGAGAGGAAAAAGUUACCGAUUGCCUAAAAGGCGGUGAAGGCGGAGGAUGAGAUCUUCUUCAUCGGGAGCAAUCUGGCCACGUUUAACAGAAGGUCGGAGAUAAUUCAUCCAUCUUAGACGACAACUUUUUCCGCAUCGGAGAAGACCAGCCCGUUUAGGUAAAGUCCGCCACCGUCCUUCUCCUUCUUUGUUGAUGUAAUUAGAUAGUAACUCGUCUUCUUCCGGCGUCCAUGGCCCUCUUUUCAACCCUACUUUGCUGCAACACGGCGUCGUCUUGGUUCCAACGUUGUCUUUCUUCGUAGGGUUUCUCAUGUUUUUUUUUUUAGCUUAGAGAGAUAACUAAUUUGAUGAUCGGCGAUUUGAUGUUAGCAAUAGCUACUGUUUCUUUUUUUGUCAUUUAAUUUUUCUUACAAUAUUUUGGAAGUACUGUUGUGACUGUAUGGAUUUUGAAUCUUCACUUGCUUACCAUUUAUUGUGAA
Long non-coding RNA from Gossypium raimondii (Peruvian cotton), 1209 nucleotides. RefSeq lists it as uncharacterized. The transcript is spliced from 2 exons. NCBI's taxonomy places the organism in Eukaryota, Viridiplantae, Streptophyta, Magnoliopsida, Malvales, Malvaceae. The record is from RefSeq and is a predicted model, not a curated record.